Carassius carassius (crucian carp) is the source of this 426-nucleotide long non-coding RNA. RefSeq lists it as uncharacterized. The transcript is spliced from 4 exons. NCBI's taxonomy places the organism in Eukaryota, Metazoa, Chordata, Actinopteri, Cypriniformes, Cyprinidae. The record is from RefSeq and is a predicted model, not a curated record.
AAACUCAGAACCUGAAAUUGCUGGAAAAAGGAUUCCCAAAAAGAAAACAAGUACAGAUCAUAAAUACUCAUCAGACGCGAGGCAGCAGAACCACCCAUUAAAAAAAGAAAAGCUGCAAACAAAGCAAGUGUUCCACCUGCACCAAAACCUCCAGCCAUUCCAAAACUUAACAAAAAAGGUCCUAAUGUGCAACCUCAGGUUUCACAGAGCAGAGCAGUAAACGCUCUCAGCAACUCAUGUGUCAAUCAGCAACAAUGGGACACGGAAGACCAACAACAGACCUGGUGUGAGAGUCUCCCCAGCUUCCAAGGUAAAUAAUUAGUUGUAUUAGGCUAGCUGGAAAGAUAAAUGUAGAAUAGAUCAACAUUUGAUGCAAUUAACUGGAAAGUUAAAUCAUAGAAAACUCUGUGAAUUACUCAUGUCAUU